CGCUGGAGGCGGGUGACAGGGGGCGGUGUUUCCGCGAUGCCUGCGGCUGCGCUGAUUAACGGGCUCCAUCUGUGGCCAGCAUACUUGCUCCUGUGUCUGAUGGUGACUCUGAGUUGGCUUCAGCAGGUAUCUGGGCCUUUGUCCGGGAAAUGCCAGUGGGGACACCAGCUAGGACCACAGAUUCCUCCCACGUGGCUGUCCUGUCCAUGGGGUCUCGCAGGCCAGAUGCUGUGGCAGAAUCAGGGAAAGCUCUCUGACUGAAGUUCAUGGACAGUGUCUCAUUUAGUUCUUUAAGAAAUGAAACAGAACCCCUUCUUUGGAUACUGGCUUCAUCUUCAGGCAGGCGCAAGUUGGCAACCCAAAUUCAGCUUCGUGGUCAAGUAGGAGAAUGUUUGCGAGAAGAAUGUCAGGCAAGUUUCCAGAAGCUGUGCACCUCAUCUACAUAAGUCAGGUCAUGUGCCCUUUUUGGAACCAAUCGCUUCAAAGGAUAUGAGAGUUACCUGACACUAAUCAGACCUACUCCUAAUGCUGGUAGAAACUUGACUUCCUCCGAAGCACAUGAUACCUGAGCUAAAUUGGAGUUCUGUCAGAAGGGAGGGGAAAUGGAUGUUGGGUAGACAAGUAGGAGGUGUCCACUAGAGAUGGGUUCCACCUCCUUCUUAUUCUUGGUUACCCAUUUCUGAGGCUUUUGUUGAAAUUGGCCUUGGAUGAUGAGAACAACUUCAGUAUGCAAAGGAGGUGAGGAGGGAACUGGUAUGUGAAUGUGUAAGGAUCUCUUAAGUCUGUGGCUGCCUGUUGGAGAGGGUGCUUUGACCUGCGGACAUGACCAUCUGACCCCGGACAAGCAUGAGUCAUCCGAUCAUUCUAGCUUGAUGAAAAUAAAGAACGUGGCUAUCCAAGAC
This is a long non-coding RNA of Artibeus jamaicensis (Jamaican fruit-eating bat), 902 nucleotides long. RefSeq lists it as uncharacterized. The record is from RefSeq and is a predicted model, not a curated record. NCBI's taxonomy places the organism in Eukaryota, Metazoa, Chordata, Mammalia, Chiroptera, Phyllostomidae. The transcript has 5 exons.